GACGAACGCUGGCGGCGUGCUUAACACAUGCAAGUCGAACGGAAAGGCCCUGCUUUUGUGGGGUGCUCGAGUGGCGAACGGGUGAGUAACACGUGAGUAACCUGCCCUUGACUUUGGGAUAACUUCAGGAAACUGGGGCUCAUACCGGAUAGGAGCUCCUGCUGCAUGGUGGGGGUUGGAAAGUUUCGGCGGUUGGGGAUGGACUCGCGGCUUAUCAGCUUGUUGGUGGGGUAGUGGCUUACCAAGGCUUUGACGGGUAGCCGGCCUGAGAGGGUGACCGGCCACAUUGGGACUGAGAGACGGCGCAGACUCCUACGGGAGGCAGCAGUGGGGAAUAUUGCACAAUGGGCGGAAGCCUGAGGCAGCAACGCCGCGUGCGGGAUGACGGCCUUCGGGUUGUAAACCGCUGUCGCCUGUGACGAAGCGUGAGUGACGGUAAUGGGCAAAGAAGCACCGGCUAACUACGUG
This 468-nucleotide ribosomal RNA is filed under the name uncultured bacterium. RNAcentral describes it as "partial 16S ribosomal RNA". It matches the Rfam family "Bacterial small subunit ribosomal RNA", at positions 28 to 507 of the family's 1533-position model. The record is from RNAcentral.